UACGUAGGCAGCAGGCGUUGUUCGGAGUUACUGGGCGUAAAGGGUGCGUAGGCGGUUGUUUAAGUUUGGUGUGAAAUCUCCCGGCUCAACUGGGAGGGUGCGCCGAAUACUGAAUGACUAGAGUGCGGGAGAGGAGAGUGGAAUUCCUGGUGUAGCGGUGAAAUGCGUAGAUAUCAGGAGGAACACCGGUGGUGUAGACGGCUCUCUGGACCGUAACUGACGCUGAGGCACGAAAGCGUGGGUAGCAAACAGG
Molecule: ribosomal RNA, 253 nt
Filed under: uncultured bacterium
Lineage: Bacteria
Description: partial 16S ribosomal RNA
Rfam family: Bacterial small subunit ribosomal RNA
Source: RNAcentral